CAAUGCAUACCGUUACAACGGAUUCCUAUUUCAUAUAAAUGCUUGAACUUUAUAUCCUAAAAAUUAUCCCGAUUUCCACAAAAAUAUUAAGCAGCACAACCAUUUUCAACACUGGUAAUAAAUUUCAAAAUAAAAUAAUUUACAAUAAACAUACUGCUACUCUAGAUAAUUUUUAUGCAUGCUUGCUGAAUAAAAAUAUUGAUUUCCUUAAAAAAACGGUAGCUAGUGUUUUCUUGUUAAGAGAAUACCUCACCCAAAAAUGAAAAUUGUUACCUGAAAAAAAACAACCUGUUUUGUUCCCCACAUGCUUCAAAAUGUCUUCUUUUGUGUUCAGC
Molecule: long non-coding RNA, 335 nt
Organism: Carassius carassius (crucian carp)
Lineage: Eukaryota; Metazoa; Chordata; Actinopteri; Cypriniformes; Cyprinidae
Exons: 2
Source: RefSeq, a predicted model, not a curated record